GAGGGGAUAGCUCAGUGGUAGAGCACGUGCUUAGCAUGCACAAGGUCCUGGGUUCAACCCCCAGUACCUCCA
This 72-nucleotide transfer RNA is filed under the name Camelus ferus (Wild Bactrian camel). It matches the Rfam family "tRNA". Rfam says of the family: Transfer RNA (tRNA) molecules are approximately 80 nucleotides in length. Their secondary structure includes four short double-helical elements and three loops (D, anti-codon, and T loops). Further hydrogen bonds mediate the characteristic L-shaped molecular structure. tRNAs have two regions of fundamental functional importance: the anti-codon, which is responsible for specific mRNA codon recognition, and the 3' end, to which the tRNAs corresponding amino acid is attached (by aminoacyl-tRNA synthetases). tRNAs cope with the degeneracy of the genetic code in two manners: having more than one tRNA (with a specific anti-codon) for a particular amino acid; and 'wobble' base-pairing, i.e. permitting non-standard base-pairing at the 3rd anti-codon position. Lineage: Eukaryota; Metazoa; Chordata; Mammalia; Artiodactyla; Camelidae. The record is from Rfam by way of RNAcentral.